GAUGAAGAACGUAGCGAAAUGCGAUAAGUAAUGUGAAUUGCAGAAUUCAGUGAAUCAUCGAAUCUUUGAACGCACAUUGCGCCCGCUAGUAUUCUGGCGGGCAUGCCUGUCCGAGCGUCAUUUCAACCCUCAAGCCCCCGGGCUUGGUGUUGGGGAUCGGCGAGCCUCCGCGCCCGCCGUCCCCUAAAUCUAGUGGCGGUCUCGCUGUAGCUUCCUCUGCGUAGUAGCACACCUCGCACUGGGANNCAGCGCGGCCACGCCGUUAAACCCCCAACUUCUGAACGUUUGACCUCGGAUCAGGUAGGAAUACCCGCUGAACUUAAGCAUAUCAAUAAGCGGAGGA
Molecule: unclassified non-coding RNA, 343 nt
Filed under: soil metagenome
Description: partial contains 5.8S ribosomal RNA, internal transcribed spacer 2, and large subunit ribosomal RNA
Rfam family: 5.8S ribosomal RNA (bases 1-120)
Source: RNAcentral